GAGAUUUGCAGCAUUCUUUUAUAUUUGAUGUCCAUUAAUCUUGGUCAUAUAUCAUUAAACGAAGCUAAUGAUCAAUUAAUGCUUACAACUCCUGUUUAGAUCUGCUUUACAUCCAGGGAAAAUCAGAGCUGUGUAAUUUUUUUUUCCUUUUACAGCUCUAAGACAUUGAAAACCCAGAAACAGUAGCACUUAUCAAUCUCCUAGAAUGUGAUAUGGAACACAAACCUACCUUCGACAAAACAAAUUAAGAUAUGGGCAUUUCUUUCUUCUUCUUAUUCCUCCUCCUCUUUGCAUGUACGGUUAACAAGAAUAAUUAUUCUUCUUCAUGAUGAUAUAACUAACUGUGUCGAUGGUACAAACUUCCUUUCAACUAACUCUUCAGGCUCAAACUUGACGUCGUUUAUGUCAAGAAGUGGCUUGAUAUCGUCGCAUUCAUUAACAUAAGGCUGCUUGACAUUAUGCAAGGAUGGCGAUGAUGAUGAUGAAACAACGUGAGUAGAAUCCUGGAUGGUCAAGGCUGCAGUUUCAUUGACAAGGUGUUCUUGCAGUUGUUGAUCAUGAUCUGGAACCACAAAUUCUUGUUCCUCUUCUUGCGUUUGUGGAUAAUGAUAUUGCAUCAUCGUGGGAUCAUAAAUAUCCAAAGAAUCUUGAUUAACAAUCUCACAUUCAAGCGUUGUUGAAUCAUCGGUUUCUAGCAUCUGGAAGUGAGUUUGUUGGUGAGCUUGAGCUCGACAAAUGGCUAGUUGAUUAAGAACAAGAUCAAGCUCAGCCUUGUGGUAUUCGAUUUGGCGUUGAAGCUCACGAAUGAUUCGAUAACAGCCUCCAACGGGAUCACUGGCCCGAACAUCUGAUUGGAAAAUGAUAGUUCGCAUAGCUUCGUCCUUGUCAGGUUGGCUUAGGGGUUUGAUGAUUUUGGUUAUGUUGCUAACACCAAACAAUUUAUGGGCAUUGAGGAAUUGUCUUUGGCGAUCAUGAGGGAAAUAAGGAGCGAGAAUACAGUCAGGAGCGCACUUCCUACGCUGGUAUUUGCAGGCAGCACAAGCUUGGGUGGUGCCGUUGCCAAUCCUUGGAAUGCUCAUAUUGUUUGAUGUUGUUGUUAUUGUUUGCUUUUGUUGAUGGUGAGAUAUCGGUUGCGUUGCCGGCGGGGAUGGUGCAGUUUUCUUUAAUGGGGCUUCUUUUUUUUCUCUGGUGGUUGCAGAUCCUUCCUUUUCUCUGUGCAAGAAAACGAAUGAAAAUGGAAGAUGGAGAGCAAUGGGAGGAGAAAUAGACAUAUGUGUUUGAGACUAAGAGAGAGAAAAAGAAAUCGUUCUUAACAGAUUCAGUUACUGGUGAU
Molecule: unclassified non-coding RNA, 1333 nt
Filed under: Hevea brasiliensis (rubber tree)
Lineage: Eukaryota; Viridiplantae; Streptophyta; Magnoliopsida; Malpighiales; Euphorbiaceae
Source: RNAcentral